UACUGGGGCGCAGCCUGAUCUAGCCAUGCCGCGUGAGUGAUGAAGGCCCUAGGGUCGUAAAGCUCUUUCAACUGUGAAGAUAAUGACGGUAGCAGUAGAAGAAACCCCGGCUAACUCCGUGCCAGCAGCCGCGGUAAUACGGAGGGGGUUAGCGUUGUUCGGAAUUACUGGGCGUAAAGCGUACGUAGGCGGAUUAAUAAGUUAGAGGUGAAAUCCCAGGGCUCAACCCUGGAACUGCCUUUAAAACUGUUAGUCUUGAGAUCGAGAGAGGUGAGUGGAAUUCCAAGUGUAGAGGUGAAAUUCGUAGAUAUUUGGAGGAACACCAGUGGCGAAGGCGGCUCACUGGCUCGAUACUGACGCUGAGGUACGAAAGUGUGGGGAGCAAACAGGAUUAGAUACCCUGGUAGUCCACACCGUAAACGAUGAAUGCCAGACGUCAGCAAGCAUGCUUGUUGGUGUCACACCUAACGGAUUAAGCAUUCCGCCUGGGGAGUACGGUCGCAAGAUUAAAACUCAAAGGAAUUGACGGA
RNAcentral lists this ribosomal RNA (530 nucleotides) under uncultured bacterium. RNAcentral describes it as "bacterial SSU rRNA". It matches the Rfam family "Bacterial small subunit ribosomal RNA", at positions 369 to 917 of the family's 1533-position model. The record is from RNAcentral.